GUGCCAGCAGCCGCGGUAAUACGUAGGGUGCGAGCGUUAAUCGGAAUUACUGGGCGUAAAGCGCGCGCAGGCGGUUAUGUAAGACAGAUGUGAAAUCCCCGGGCUCAACCUGGGAACUGCAUUAGUGACUGCAUAGCUGGAGUACGGCAGAGGGGGAUGGAAUUCCGCGUGUAGCAGUGAAAUGCGUAGAUAUGCGGAGGAACACCGAUGGCGAGGCAAUCCCCUGGGCCUGUACUGGCGCUCAUGCACGAAAGCGUGGGGAGCAAACAGGAUUAGAAACCCCGGUAGUCC
Molecule: ribosomal RNA, 291 nt
Filed under: uncultured prokaryote
Description: partial 16S ribosomal RNA
Rfam family: Bacterial small subunit ribosomal RNA
Source: RNAcentral